RNAcentral lists this ribosomal RNA (253 nucleotides) under uncultured bacterium. Its description in RNAcentral is "partial 16S ribosomal RNA". It matches the Rfam family "Bacterial small subunit ribosomal RNA", at positions 524 to 776 of the family's 1533-position model. The record is from RNAcentral.
UACAGAGGUCUCAAGCGUUGUUCGGAUUCAUUGGGUUUAAAGGGUGCGUAGGCGGCUUUGUAAGUCAGUGGUGAAAUAUGGCAGCUCAACUGUCAAGGUGCCAUUGAUACUGCGGAGCUUGAGUACAGAUGAGGUAGGCGGAAUUGACGGUGUAGCGGUGAAAUGCUUAGAUAUCGUCAAGAACACCGAUAGCGAAGGCAGCUUACUGGGCUGUAACUGACGCUGAGGCACGAAAGCGUGGGGAGCAAACAGG